GAUGAACGCUGGCGGCGUGCCUAAUACAUGCAAGUAGAACGCUGAAGGAGGGGCUUGCUCUUCUGGAUGAGUUGCGCACGGGUGAGUAAAGCGUAGGUAACCUGCCUGGUAGCGGGGGAGAACUCUUGGAAACGAUAGCUAAUACCGCAUGACAACAGUUAUUGCAUGAUAACUGUUUAAAAGGGGCAACUGCUCCACUACCAGAUGGACCUGCGUUGGAUUAGCUAGUUGGUGAGGUAACGGCUCACCAAGGCGACGAUACAUAGCCGACCUGAGAGGGGGAUCGGCCACACUGGGACUGAGACACGGCCCAGACUCCUACGGGAGGCAGCAGUAGGGAAUCUUCGGCAAUAGACGGAAGGCUGACCGAGCAACGCCGCGGGAGUGAAGAAGGUUGUCGGAUCGUAAAGCUCUGUUGUAAGAGAAGAACGAGUGUGAGAGUGGAAAGUUCACACUGUGACGGUAUCUUACCAGAAAGGGACGGCUAACUACGUG
Molecule: ribosomal RNA, 495 nt
Filed under: uncultured bacterium
Lineage: Bacteria
Description: partial 16S ribosomal RNA
Rfam family: Bacterial small subunit ribosomal RNA
Source: RNAcentral